Molecule: non-coding RNA, 75 nt
Organism: Trichonephila inaurata madagascariensis
Lineage: Eukaryota; Metazoa; Arthropoda; Arachnida; Araneae; Nephilidae
Source: the annotation of a GenBank genome assembly
GUUUCCCUGUAGCGCAAUGGAUCGUGCGUUGGACUUCUAACCCAAAGGUUGUGGUUUCGAAUUCCACCUGGAAUG